AAUCAUAUUUUUUUCUAUAGCUAAGCACAAUUAGCACUCAUGUUUAAUACAAUGGUCCUAGUCUUUGGCCAAUACUGAGUCCGCCCCUGCUCCUAGUGUGGCUUCAUAGACAUGAAAAAGACGGCCUCCAUUCUAGUCUAAUAAGCCCUAAGCCACUAACAACACCUUCCCACCAAAUUUCAACCAACAUCGUCCUCGAUCCUAGUGCUUAGCUCCACAUCGUCCCCAAUUCUAGCUCUUAACUUGAUCGGUGAUACGUAGCGCAACAUAGAAUUGUCGUCUAUCAAAGGUUGGAGAAACGUGCUGGAGGGGCAAGUUGACAAUGCAGACGCUUUGCGC
Molecule: long non-coding RNA, 339 nt
Filed under: Sorghum bicolor (sorghum)
Lineage: Eukaryota; Viridiplantae; Streptophyta; Magnoliopsida; Poales; Poaceae
Description: long non-coding RNA (SBIC_LNC003861)
Source: RNAcentral